CUUACCCAAUCAUGAGCGUGGCAACUGCUGUAAACCUGUGUCACAUAAAUGCAAAUUGUGUGUUUUGUAACAGGACUGUGGCUGGGCAAGGGAGAAGCUCCAUGACCUGCCUGACAUGCUUUUUGGUGCCUCCUCCUCUAGAAAGGAGGAAGUAACAGGAGUGCGUUCUCCUGAAAGCAGCUGAGAAUAUCCAAGUGCAGAGAAGCCUUGGGCAGCAGUAUAGAGCAUCCAAGGACAGAGUAGAAUGGGAGCAUGAAGCAUUGAGAUAACCAGGAGUUUUCCUCAUGAAAGGAGCAAGGGGCCCUUCUGAAGCAAGAAGUAGUUCCAAAGUCAAGACUCAGAACCAAAAGAAAGCAGGAGACCCAGAAAGAACUGUGUGCAGUUUGUGGAAACCAAGGAAGCUACAGGAACUUGCUGGAAAGAGCAGCAAGGCUGAAGAAACGGAUGUGUCCUUACAAGAGCACAACUGGCAGGGUACUGCUAAUUAGGUUGGGCAGAACCUCUCAGUGAUGCGGCCAAGUAGUUUUGAACAGGCUUCCACUGCUGUGAAACAUCUGUUUGCGCUUGACUGUGUCAGGUUGCCAGAAGUGGGACCAAGCUAACUGUGGAACCAAGAACCAGUGUCAGACGUGCUAAGGUGGUACUUGGAAUUUAUUGGAUUUACAGAAGACAAGAAUAAAGCCUGUUGCCAUCUGUGUGGAUCAAAGCAUUUCUUUGUUAGCAGGAUGUGCGCAAAAAGCAUUGCUAGUGACAAAAUUGUAUCUCCAGAGCAAGCCCUGCAAAGAUUUAAAGCUGGAGUAGUAUUCAGAGAACUCUUAGUUCCUUAAAAGGCUGUAAAUCUUAUUUCCAUACAUGAGAACCCACAUGUAUCUACAACCAUAUUCAAGAGCACAGAGUGAAAAAUGCAGCA
Pezoporus flaviventris is the source of this 910-nucleotide long non-coding RNA. RefSeq lists it as uncharacterized. The transcript is spliced from 4 exons. NCBI's taxonomy places the organism in Eukaryota, Metazoa, Chordata, Aves, Psittaciformes, Psittacidae. The record is from RefSeq and is a predicted model, not a curated record.